GGGCUCUGGGCUGGAGCCCAGGGCCAAGUAUCUACUCUCCAGGUUUAUAGCUCCGCAGCCCGAGUCAGCUGCCACGGGCAAGCUGUGGGUGUUUUACUGCAGUGUAGACACCCACUGGGAAUGAUAUAAUGGUAGCCACUCCCCCAUAGCUCUCAUUGUUGAAGUCUCUUUUUGGUAUCAUCUCAAUGGUGUUGCUGAAGAGCCAAAUGCAUCCCUGACUGGUUAAGGGAAGUGGGACACUGGUGGUGCAUCAUCAACUCUGGAAUCCUGCUGAGUCGGGAAGGAUUACCAUGCAAGAGGGAAGUGGUGAAUAUGUGCACAAGAGGGUGGCGGUAGGAGUGAUGCACUUUGUUUCCUUAAAAAGGAACAGCAUUUGCCCUGUGUUAGCUUGCAUGAAUGGCAUGCUAGAGCAUGCACGCUGAGGGGCCAGACCCUUAAAUGGCACCCUAAGCCCUCUUGGGCACAUAGUGUGUCUCUCAGAACGGGAGUCAGUCCCCCUGGCUUGACACUCUCUGGCGUGCUCUGCAGAGAACCUGCCCUGCUGUUUAAACCAUACAAAGAAGCUCCCUAAGAGGCUUCUUCUCCAUCUUCUCUUACCAAAGCAUAGCAGGAUCCAGCAGGGUCUGUCCUCCCUGCCAUGUAGUGCAUGUGUAACUGACAUUAGACUCAAUGGGGAGUCACAUGCACAUGUAAGGGGAGAACAGACCAUCACAGGAUUAUAAACAAGUCAAAGGAUUACAGAAUUUCCAAUCCCAGACAUCAUUUUCCACUCAGCACCGGUAGGAAUAUACUAGUGACGUCUCUUACCAGUACCCAGCAUUCUGGGGCUAUGCGACUGCAUCCCAUCUGUACUAGGGACCAACAAGCCAGUUCCUAGCCCUGGUCUAGACUACAGAGUUAGGUUGAUGCAAGGCAGCUUAGGUCAACCUCACUCUAUAAGUGUCUAUAUUAAAAUUUUGCUCCCGCCACCGUAACUCGCCUGCUACAUCACUUUAAUAACUCCACCUCCACAAGCGGUGUAGCGUUAAUGUCGAUGUAGUUAGGUUGACGCAGU
Molecule: non-coding RNA, 1054 nt
Organism: Chelonoidis abingdonii (Abingdon island giant tortoise)
Lineage: Eukaryota; Metazoa; Chordata; Testudines; Testudinidae
Source: RefSeq, a predicted model, not a curated record